RNAcentral lists this transfer RNA (74 nucleotides) under Pseudomonadota bacterium. RNAcentral describes it as "Proteobacteria bacterium (freshwater metagenome) tRNA-Arg". It matches the Rfam family "tRNA". Rfam says of the family: Transfer RNA (tRNA) molecules are approximately 80 nucleotides in length. Their secondary structure includes four short double-helical elements and three loops (D, anti-codon, and T loops). Lineage: Bacteria; Pseudomonadati; Pseudomonadota. The record is from RNAcentral.
CACGAUGUAGCUCAAUUGGAUAGAGCACCGAAUUUCUAAUUCGGCCCGUCAAGGUUCGAUUCCUUGCAUCGUGA